Molecule: ribosomal RNA, 388 nt
Filed under: uncultured bacterium
Lineage: Bacteria
Description: bacterial SSU rRNA
Rfam family: Bacterial small subunit ribosomal RNA
Source: RNAcentral
GACGAACGCUGGCGGCGUGCUUAACACAUGCAAGUCGAGCGGUAAGGCCCUUUCGGGGGUACACGAGCGGCGAACGGGUGAGUAACACGUGGGUGACCUGCCCUCAGCUCUGGGAUAAGCCUGGGAAACCGGGUCUAAUACUGGAUAUGACUCCAUGACGCAUGUUGUGGGGUGGAAAGCCUUGUGCGGCUGAGGAUGGGCCCGUGGCCUAUCAGCUUGUUGGUGGGGUGAUGGCCUACCAAGGCGACGACGGGUAGCCGGCCUGAGAGGGCGACCGGCCACACUGGGACUGAGACACGGCCCAGACUCCUACGGGAGGCAGCAGUGGGGAAUCUUGCGCAAUGGGCGAAAGCCUGACGCAGCGACGCCGCGUGAGGGAUGACGGCCU